UUAGGGGCAAGGUAUGUGAAUAAGUACAAACCUUGUGUUACUAAUUUUAUUCAAUUGGAUUUUAAUCCAUCAUGUACCUAUGUGUGGCUAUUGUUAAUUGAAUGCUAAGGGCUUUUGCCAACCUAGUCUAUGAAGUUCAUAUAAACUUUGUUUCACUUUUUAAGUUUCUAAUACAAUUGGAGAAAACGUGGAUUGAACAUAAUCUACUAGCAUCCUAUACCCCCUACCUCCUGCAGUAGGGGCAAAUGGCUU
Molecule: unclassified non-coding RNA, 252 nt
Filed under: Hevea brasiliensis (rubber tree)
Lineage: Eukaryota; Viridiplantae; Streptophyta; Magnoliopsida; Malpighiales; Euphorbiaceae
Source: RNAcentral